ACUACGGGAGGCAGCAGUGGGGAAUAUUGCACAAUGGUGGAAACCCUGAUGCAGCGACGCCGCGUGAAGGAAGAAGUAUUUCGGUAUGUAAACUUCUAUCAGCAGGGAAGAAAAGCACGGUACCUGACUACGAAGCCCCGGCUAACUACGUGCCAGCAUCAGCGGGAAUACGGAGGGGGCAGUAGUUAUCCGGAUUUACUGGGUGUAAAGGGAGCGUAGGCGGUUUAGCAAGUGAGAAGUGAAAGCCCGGGGGUCAACUCCGGGACUGCUUUUGAAACUGUUGAACUAGAGUGCGGGAGAGGUAGGUGGAAUUCCUAGUGUAGCGGUGAAAUGCGUAGAUAUUAGGAGGAACACCAGUGGCGAAGGCGGCUUACUGGACUGUAAAUGACGCUGAGGCUCGAAAGCGUGGGGAGCAAACAGGAUUAGAUACCCGGGUAGUC
RNAcentral lists this ribosomal RNA (440 nucleotides) under uncultured bacterium. RNAcentral describes it as "partial 16S ribosomal RNA". It matches the Rfam family "Bacterial small subunit ribosomal RNA", at positions 338 to 795 of the family's 1533-position model. The record is from RNAcentral.